This 253-nucleotide ribosomal RNA is filed under the name uncultured bacterium. RNAcentral describes it as "partial 16S ribosomal RNA". It matches the Rfam family "Bacterial small subunit ribosomal RNA", at positions 524 to 776 of the family's 1533-position model. The record is from RNAcentral.
UACGUAGGAGACGAGCGUUGUUCGGAAUUAUUGGGCGUAAAGGGCGCGUAGGCGGUGCGGUAAGUCACCUGUGAAAUCUCCUGGCUCAACUGGGAGCUUGCAGGCGAAACUGCCGUGCUGGAGUGUGGGAGAGGUGCGUGGAAUUCCUGGUGUAGCGGUGAAAUGCGUAGAUAUCAGGAGGAACACCUGUGGCGAAAGCGGCGCACUGGACCACAACUGACGCUGAGGCGCGAAAGCUAGGGGAGCAAACAGG